UGAGCAACCUGCCCCUGGCUCUGGGAUAACUCCGGGAAAUCGGAGCUAAUACCGGAUACGAGACCGAUUGGCAUCUUUACGGUCUGGAAAGUUUUUCGGCCAGGGAUGGGCUCGCGGCCUAUCAGCUUGUUGGUGGGUAACGGCCCACCAAGGCGACGACGGGUAGCCGGCCUGAGAGGGCGACCGGCCACACUGGGACUGAGACACGGCCCAGACUCCUACGGGAGCAGCA
Molecule: ribosomal RNA, 232 nt
Filed under: uncultured bacterium
Lineage: Bacteria
Description: partial 16S ribosomal RNA
Rfam family: Bacterial small subunit ribosomal RNA
Source: RNAcentral